This 400-nucleotide long non-coding RNA is filed under the name Suricata suricatta (meerkat). Its description in RNAcentral is "lncRNA (ENSSSUG00005009237.1)". The record is from RNAcentral. Lineage: Eukaryota; Metazoa; Chordata; Mammalia; Carnivora; Herpestidae.
GCUCAGUGUAAUCCACUAAACAUUGAACUAAAAAUCUGUGAAAUUGCCAUCAGAAGAAUGCUUGUCCAACACCAAAGAACGUUUGAGAAGUAAGAGAUGGAAAUAUAUGGAUACAUGUGCCAAGAAACAGGCUACCCCAAAAGGCUGAAUGAUUACCAAGAACUGGGAAUUGUGGAAAUUCUGCUUCUGUGAUUCCGGAUGAGACCUUGCAGAACCUUUGGCAUAACCAGCACAUAAAAGAGCAUCACAGAACUGGUGUGAUUUAAACAUGAGGAACAGGUACAGGUAAUGUGGUUUAGGACCAAAUCACUGAAGUACUGAAGAUUAAACAGAAUUAAUGAACUUUAGACUGCAGUCUCCAUAAAUGAGCCAACAAAUAUGCAGCAAAAUCCUGAACUGC